Molecule: ribosomal RNA, 504 nt
Filed under: uncultured bacterium
Lineage: Bacteria
Description: partial 16S ribosomal RNA
Rfam family: Bacterial small subunit ribosomal RNA
Source: RNAcentral
GACGAACGCUGGCGGCGUGCCUAAUACAUGCAAGUAGAACGCACAGUUUAUACCGUAGCUUGCUACACCAUAGACUGUGAGUUGCGAACGGGUGAGUAACGCGUAGGUAACCUGCCUGGUAGCGGGGGAUAACUAUUGGAAACGAUAGCUAAUACCGCAUAAUAUUAAUUAUUGCAUGAUAAUUAAUUGAAAGGUGCAAUUGCACCACUACCAGAUGGACCUGCGUUGUAUUAGCUAGUAGGUGAGGUAACGGCUCACCUAGGCGACGAUACAUAGCCGACCUGAGAGGGUGAUCGGCCACACUGGGACUGAGACACGGCCCAGACUCCUACGGGAGGCAGCAGUAGGGAAUCUUCGGCAAUGGACGAAAGUCUGACCGAGCAACGCCGCGUGAGUGAAGAAGGUUUUCGGGUCGUAAAGCUCUGUUGUAAGAGAAGAACGGGUGUGAGAGUGGAAAGUUCACACUGUGACGGUAUCUUACCAGAAAGGGACGGCUAACUACGU